Molecule: unclassified non-coding RNA, 337 nt
Filed under: soil metagenome
Description: partial contains 5.8S ribosomal RNA, internal transcribed spacer 2, and large subunit ribosomal RNA
Rfam family: 5.8S ribosomal RNA (bases 1-120)
Source: RNAcentral
GAUGAAGAACGUAGCGAAAUGCGAUAAGUAGUGUGAAUUGCAGAAUUCAGUGAAUCAUCGAAUCUUUGAACGCACAUUGCGCCCCUUGGUAUUCCAUGGGGCAUGCCUGUUCGAGCGUCAUUUGUACCCUCAAGCUCUGCUUGGUGUUGGGUGUUUGUCCCACUUUACGCGUGGACUCGCCUUAAAGCAAUUGGCAGCCGGCAAUCUGGUUAUAGAGCGCAGCACAUUUUGCGCUUCUUGCCAUGGAUGUCGGCGUCCAUCAAGUACAUUUUUUUGCUCUUGACCUCGGAUCAGGUAGGGAUACCCGCUGAACUUAAGCAUAUCAAUAAGCGGAGGA